This 235-nucleotide ribosomal RNA is filed under the name uncultured bacterium. RNAcentral describes it as "partial 16S ribosomal RNA". It matches the Rfam family "Bacterial small subunit ribosomal RNA", at positions 118 to 351 of the family's 1533-position model. The record is from RNAcentral.
UGAGUAACCUGCCCUUAACUCUGGGAUAAGCCUGGGAAACCGGGUCUAAUACCGGAUAUGACUGCCGGCCGCAUGGCCUGGUGGUGGAAAGCUUUAUUGCGGUUUUGGAUGGACUCGCGGCCUAUCAGCUUGUUGGCGGGGUAAUGGCCCACCAAGGCGACGACGGGUAGCCGGCCUGAGAGGGUGACCGGCCACACUGGGACUGAGACACGGCCCAGACUCCUACGGGAGGCAG